GAAAUGCGAUAAGUAAUGUGAAUUGCAGAAUUCAGUGAAUCAUCGAAUCUUUGAACGCACAUUGCGCCCCCUGGUAUUCCGGGGGGCAUGCCUGUUCGAGCGUCAUUUCACCACUCAAGCCUCGCUUGGUGUUGGGCGACGCGGUCCGCCGCGCGCCUCAAAUCGACCGGCUGGGUCUUCCGUCCCCUCAGCGUUGUGGAAACUAUUCGCUAAAGGGUGCCGCGGGAGGUCACGCCGCAAAACAACCCCAUUUCUAAGGUUGACCUCGGAUCAGGUAGGGAUACCCGCUGAACUUAAGC
Molecule: unclassified non-coding RNA, 299 nt
Filed under: plant metagenome
Description: partial contains 5.8S ribosomal RNA, internal transcribed spacer 2, and large subunit ribosomal RNA
Rfam family: 5.8S ribosomal RNA (bases 1-105)
Source: RNAcentral